Anneissia japonica is the source of this 234-nucleotide long non-coding RNA. RefSeq lists it as uncharacterized. NCBI's taxonomy places the organism in Eukaryota, Metazoa, Echinodermata, Crinoidea, Comatulida, Comatulidae. The record is from RefSeq and is a predicted model, not a curated record. The transcript is spliced from 3 exons.
GCUGACAGUACAAGUGGUUGUACUCCAUUUGCUUAUUAUUGUGGUGAAAAUGGCAACAAUUUUGUGACCAUAACCGAUUGUCAAACAUCAUGUGGAGUGGUUACAACAGCUUGUACAUCUGCGCCCUGUUUGAAUGGUGGAGCUUGCUCAGUAACAUCUAUUGGGUAUUCCUGUAGUUGCCUAUCUGGUUACACUGGAACCCGAUGUGAGACUGUGGUUACAACAGCCUGUGCA